GGCCUGUUGGGUAUUAUGUCAGGUCGGGCCUGCUCAGUGUUAAAUAUUAACAGCCGCGGUAACUUGACUGUGCAAAGGUAGCAUAAUCAUUAGUUUUUUAAUUGGAAGCUGGAAUGAAAGGUUUGACGGGAAUAUGCUGUCUUAAUUUAUAUUUUUGAAUUUUAGUUUAUUGUGAAGACGCAAUAAUAUAUUUAUUUGACGAGAAGACCCCGUAAAGCUUAUUAGAUUAUAGCUUUUUGGUUUUAUUUUUUGUUUUGUUGGGGCAACAGGCAUGAUAAAAUAAUGGCUGAGUAGGGCAGUAUACUUUUUUAUUCUUGGUAAUUAGAUCCUGAAUAUUUUGAAAUUAAGAUAAGCUACUUUGGGGAUAACAGCGUAAUUUUAUUGGAGAGUUCUUAUUGAUAAUAAAGUUUGCGACCUCGAUGUUGAAUUAAGAUACCAGCUGGCUGUAGUGGGCCAAGCGGGGGGUCUGUUCGACCCUUAAAUUCUUACA
RNAcentral lists this ribosomal RNA (490 nucleotides) under Pachymerium ferrugineum. RNAcentral describes it as "partial 16S ribosomal RNA". It matches the Rfam family "Bacterial large subunit ribosomal RNA", at positions 1828 to 2600 of the family's 2925-position model. Lineage: Eukaryota; Metazoa; Arthropoda; Chilopoda; Geophilomorpha; Geophilidae. The record is from RNAcentral. RNAcentral also lists the same sequence under 1 other name.